This 492-nucleotide ribosomal RNA is filed under the name uncultured bacterium. RNAcentral describes it as "partial 16S ribosomal RNA". It matches the Rfam family "Bacterial small subunit ribosomal RNA", at positions 29 to 507 of the family's 1533-position model. The record is from RNAcentral.
AGUGAACGCUGGCGGUAGGCCUAACACAUGCAAGUCGAACGGCCGCACAGUAAGAGCUUGCUCUUACGGGUGGCGAGUGGCGGGCGGGUGAGGAAUACAUCGGAAUCUACUUUUUCGUGGGGGAUAACGUAGGGAAACUUACGCUAAUACCGCAUACGACCUACGGGUGAAAGCAGGGGAUCUUCGGACCUUGCGCGAUUGAAUGAGCCGAUGUCGGAUUAGCUAGUUGGCGGGGUAAAGGCCCACCAAGGCGACGAUCCGUAGCUGGCCUGAGAGGAUGAUCAGCCACACUGGAACUGAGACACGGUCCAGACUCCUACGGGAGGCAGCAGUGGGGAAUAUUGGACAAUGGGCGCAAGCCUGAUCCAGCCAUACCGCGUGGGUGAAGAAGGCCUUCGGGUUGUAAAGCCCUGUUGUUGGGAAAGAAAAGCAGCAGGUUAAUACCCCGCUGUUCUGACGGUACCCAAAGAAUAAGCACCGGCUAACUUCGUG